Molecule: transfer RNA, 87 nt
Filed under: Clostridiales bacterium
Lineage: Bacteria; Bacillati; Bacillota; Clostridia; Eubacteriales
Description: tRNA-Leu
Rfam family: tRNA
About the family: Transfer RNA (tRNA) molecules are approximately 80 nucleotides in length.
Source: RNAcentral
GCCGAUGUGAUGGAAUUGGUAGACGUAGCGGACUCAAAAUCCGCCGAUGUUACAAUCGUGCCGGUUCGAAUCCGGCCAUCGGUACCA